This 134-nucleotide microRNA precursor is filed under the name Medicago truncatula (barrel medic). RNAcentral describes it as "miR2600e stem-loop (mtr-MIR2600e)". The stretch from base 50 to 134 matches the Rfam family "MIR2600 microRNA precursor family". Lineage: Eukaryota; Viridiplantae; Streptophyta; Magnoliopsida; Fabales; Fabaceae. The record is from miRBase by way of RNAcentral.
GUGACAUUGGCCAAUCACAAUGCCACAAUGUUUGUGUUUCUAGAGUUGGGUGACAUUGGCCAAUCACAAUGCCACAAUGUUUGUGUUUCUCUCUCUUUCACAAGCAUUGUGGCAUUGUGAUUGGCCAAUGUCAC